RNAcentral lists this ribosomal RNA (421 nucleotides) under uncultured bacterium. Its description in RNAcentral is "bacterial SSU rRNA". It matches the Rfam family "Bacterial small subunit ribosomal RNA", at positions 90 to 507 of the family's 1533-position model. The record is from RNAcentral.
GGCGAGUGGCGAACGGGUGAGUAAUAUAUCGGGAACGUGCCCAGUCGUGGGGGAUAACGUAGCGAAAGCUACGCUAAUACCGCAUACUAUCUAUGGAUGAAAGCGGGGGAUCGCAAGACCUCGCGCGAUUGGAGCGGCCGAUAUCAGAUUAGGUAGUUGGUGAGGUAAAGGCUCACCAAGCCGACGAUCUGUAGCUGGUCUGAGAGGACGACCAGCCACACUGGGACUGAGACACGGCCCAGACUCCUACGGGAGGCAGCAGUGGGAAUUUUGGACAAUGGGCGCAAGCCUGAUCCAGCAAUGCCGCGUGAGUGAAGAAGGCCUUCGGGUUGUAAAGCUCUUUUGUCAGGGAAGAAACGGUGAGGGCUAAUAUCCUUUGCUAAUGACGGUACCUGAAGAAUAAGCACCGGCUAACUACGUG